CCUACGGGUGGCAGCAGUGGGGAAUAUUGCACAAUGGGGGAAACCCUGAUGCAGCGACGCCGCGUGAGUGAAGAAGUAUCUCGGUACGUAAAGCUCUAUCAGUAGGGAAGAAAAUGACGGUACCUGACUAAGAAGCCCCGGCUAACUCCGUGCCAGCAGCCGCGGUAAUACGGAGGGGGCAAGCGUUAUCCGGAUUUACUGGGUGUAAAGGGAGCGUAGACGGCAGGACAAGUCAGGAGUGAAAUCCCCAGGCUUAACCCCGGAACUGCGUUUGAAACUGUGCGGCUGGAGUGAAGGAGGGGUAGGCGGAAUGCAUGGUGUAGCGGUGAAAUGCGUAGAGAUGAGGAGGAACACCGAUGGCGAAGGCGGCUUACUAAACUAUAACUGACGUUGAGGCACGAAAGCGUGGGGAGCAAACAGGAUUAGAUACCCUUGUAGUC
This 440-nucleotide ribosomal RNA is filed under the name uncultured bacterium. RNAcentral describes it as "partial 16S ribosomal RNA". It matches the Rfam family "Bacterial small subunit ribosomal RNA", at positions 338 to 795 of the family's 1533-position model. The record is from RNAcentral.